RNAcentral lists this ribosomal RNA (368 nucleotides) under uncultured bacterium. RNAcentral describes it as "bacterial SSU rRNA". It matches the Rfam family "Bacterial small subunit ribosomal RNA", at positions 29 to 426 of the family's 1533-position model. The record is from RNAcentral.
AACGAACGCUGGCGGCAGGCCUAACACAUGCAAGUCGAACGCUCCAGCAAUGGAGAGUGGCAGACGGGUGAGUAACGCGUGGGAACCUUCCCUAUGGUUCGGAAUAGCUCAGGGAAACUUGAGGUAAUACCGGAUAAGCCCUUCGGGGAAGAUUUAUCGCCAUUGGAUGGGCCCGCAUAGGAUUAGCUAGUUGGUGAGGUAACGGCUCACCAAGGCGACGAUCCUUAGCUGGUCNGAGAGGAUGAUCAGCCACACUGGGACUGAGACACGGCCCAGACUCCUACGGGAGGCAGCAGUGGGGAAUAUUGGACAAUGGGCGCAAGCCUGAUCCAGCCAUGCCGCGUGAGUGACGAAGGCCUUAGGGUUGU